UGGCUCUUCAGACUGACGUGAACUCUGGAGGUGACACAUUUGGUAAAGGGCCUCCUAGGCACUGUGAGGCCCUGAAUUCAGAUCCCAGCACCACGGACAAAGCUGGGUGUGGCAGCGUGCAUCAGUAACCCUAGGGUGUUAGAGACCAUGGACUCCAUGGAGCGCUCUGUCCAGAAAAUGGAACUAUUCAGUGAGCUCUAGGCUGAAUGGGACAGAGAGCCUGUCUUACACACAAGGUGUGGAACUGCUGAGAAGGACAUCCGUGUCUACCCUUGUCCUCCACGUGGGUGCACAUGUAGUUGCACACACCCACGUGAACAGGUCCAUAUGCUUGCUCCAUAUACAUGCAAACAAAAUUACAGCAUUGAACUAUGCUAUAGAAUAAGUACAGAAAUCUCAGAAGUGAUACUUACAUCUAUUUUAUUAAUUCUUUGUACAAAAUUUUUUGUUGGUGGAGGCUGCUUGUUUGUAGUCCUGACCACCCAGACCCAAAAUAAUCUCACAGAAACUGUAUUAAUUAAAAUUCUGCUCAGCCUAUUAGCUUGGGCUUCUUAUUAACUCUUAAAUCUUAAAUUAACCCAUUCCUAAUUUUUUUUGUGUUUUACCACAAGGAUUGUGGUUUACGGUAAAGUUCCAGGUUGUCUGUCUCCUUUUUCAGCUAAAUUGUGUUUGUCUGCCUCUGCCUUCUUUCUCCCAGCAUUCAGUUUAGUUUUCCCACCUAACUCUUCUGCCCUGCCAAGGGCCAGAGACGCUUCUUUAUUAACCAAUGGUAAUAAAACAUAUUCACAGUAUACAGAGGGGAAUCCAUAAUCAAUUUUUGAGGCAAAAUUGGAGUUUAUUAAAUUUGUAUAGCAAUUUUAAGCAAUGUAAUUAGGAAAAGAAAUAUGGUUAGGAAGGAAGACAUACCUGAGGUUGCGUGUGCUUAGACACCUGAGGUCGUGAGUGUGUGCUUAGAUGGAUACCUGAGGUCAUGAGUGUGUGCUUACACACCUGAAGUUAUGGGUGUAUGCUUGACACCCGAGGUUGUGUGUGUGUGUGUGCUUAGAUAAACACCUGAGGUUGUGGGUGUGUGCUUAGACACCUGAGGUUGUGGGUAUGUGCUUAGAAGAGCUGCUGUUUUUGAGUUACCGGUACUGUAGCCAUGGUACUGCAUCCUUGAUAGUUUUGUUACUAGCUUGCUAUUCAGGCUUCUUCAUAAAUACUGUUUUUUCUUUUACUUUUUUGAAAAAUCUUAUAUCCUGCCAGGUAUAGAAUUUU
This is a long non-coding RNA of Alexandromys fortis (reed vole), 1257 nucleotides long. RefSeq lists it as uncharacterized. The record is from RefSeq and is a predicted model, not a curated record. The transcript has 2 exons. Lineage: Eukaryota; Metazoa; Chordata; Mammalia; Rodentia; Cricetidae.